GAAGAGAACGUACUGCAGGGAAGCGAUGAUGGGCUCGGGACCUCGGCAUGGGAACAGCCAACAAGUGUGCCCCAAACGUACACAAACUUCGUGGGAGAAGCAUGCAAACAAGGAUGCAUGUCAGAAGUGGAGUCGGAAGAGCCCAGGAGCUUUAUCACGGCUACUUCAUCGUCAAGAUAUGUGGAAAGCAGAGAGCACUUGGAUGCUCUGACUGUCUCUGAAGGGCAUGGCGAAGAUUAUAGCAAAGCAUCUGUCAAUGCUAACACCACUGAGCUGUCAGGAGGAGCUUCUUGGGAUUUAUGAAGAGAGCCAAAGAGGAGGAAAAGUGCAGGGGAACAAACAAUCCAAGCGAGGCUGUUCAGACCUAGAUUUUUUUUUUUUUGCUUGGGCUAAUUUCAGAAAGUGCUUCUGUUGUCAGUUGUAUGGCUCUGCAGCCUUGAGUCAAACCCUGCAGCCUGGGCUAUCUGAGUGUAAGUUAACCCCCUUGUUCCCUUUGUAAGCAGGCUGCCUUGAGAGGGAGAGAACAGCCAUUAGUCAUCUGUGAUGGAAGGUAAAAGAGGCUAUUGCUGGGCAAAGCUGGGGCAUUCAGGCAAGCCAUGGGAAGGGACUUGUCCAUGGAAGGGACUUGUGACCCACACUAGCAGCUUUUAUUCAGUGACACUUGCCCCUUCCCUUCCUUUCUACCUCCAGAAGCCUUUGGCUGUAGUGAAAUGCAAAGGCAGUAAGUAUUACCUAAGUCUUGGAAAUGGAAUAAAUGGAAUUGGACCCAGUGUUAGGGUCUGGGGAGUAUGAGUGUGACUUUUUACAUGAGGUGCAGAACACCACAGCUUUCCCCCAUGCUCCUUCAGACCCCGCUGAGGUCCAGCCUACUCACUGAAACAUGCAACCUGCAGAAGUAAGAGAAGGCUGAAGAAAAAUGAAGGCAAGAGCUUGAAUGUUGUUCUAAAAAUUAUUUUUUCUGAGGCCUGUGUCUUCACAGGUGUGCAUGCAGACUGUGAACUUGGCCCCAAAGUGCUGGGGUCAAAUGCUGUUUGCUUCCUCUUCUGGAGGCUCUGUGUGAAGAGCUGGGGUAGUGGAAAAGUCAAAGAGGAGAAGAUGCAGAGCAGUAAUAUACUUGUACAGCUGCUUGAAAUGGCAACUUCAAGGCUAACUUUCUUGACUAUUGUGCAAACUGCAUACUAUGAAAAUACUUAUGCAUCAAUAAAGUCAAUCCUGUACUGCACUUUGGGAUGGAAGGGAGAAUAAUGCUGCCUACAUGUGCACAAAUGAUAGGUGCUAAUUUAGCUGCUCCCCCUAAAGCAUUGGAGCUGUCAUAGCUCCUUCAACUGCUGUUUCAGUGUCUGCAGAGGUAAAGAACAAAACAGACUGAGGAGUUUUAUUAUUAUGAACACUGAAGAAAGGUUGGUGCCUUUAGACUAAGAAUGGCAAGUGAAGAUUAUUAGUUUUUACAACAGAGAAAUGAGUUGGCAUAAACUGACACAAAAUGUAAAUGGGAUGGGAAAGCAAGGGUAAAGGAAGAGAAGAAGAAUGGUGAAGGCUGAAUCUUGAAGAUGUUAUAUUAAGUGUGCUUAAUAAUAUUCAGUUUGGGAAAAUGAUCCUUUUCCUGGUCUUCCCUUUCAUCAAGGUGAGGGUUUCUCUGCAUUUUGUUUGUGGAGAUGUAAUUUAUUGUGACUAUAGGAUGUAUUAGUUGCACAGAAGCAUUUUUCCUGGGCAGACACUUGAAGGUCUAGAACUUGUUCUCUACCUACUUUCAAAAUUAAGCAGUGCCUCUGCAGAGAACAGUUUUCAGAUAAUAGCUGUUCUGUGUAGACCCUUGUCAGCUUGCAUCACACAACUGCUGAGGGCUAAUGCUCUGCAGAAGAGCACCCAUUUAACUAACCCUCGCUCUUAGAUAAGGGUUUAUGUGUAUGAUCAUCAUUGCUCUUAUACUAGAAAAAUAUCCGUCUGCCAAAACACCGAAACUUGAACAACAUUGCCUCUUUAUAAUGAAAUAAGCCAGCAAUUUUUCAGGAAAAGUUCUUUAAAGGAAGGUGCUAGGUGUGUGCAUAUAUAUACACUUAUUAUUUUCUUGAAAGAGUAUCUAAAAUUCAGCGUGUAAGUUCUCUUUGAGGCAGGCUAGAGAAGGGAAAGAUGGGGUAAGGAGCUCUUGGAGUACUUCACAACUAUCUUCCAAGAAUUUAUUUUUAAAAGUACACACAAAAAUUGUUGAAAGUAUCCCCAUUACACCUGAGAAUAACCAUUUAACUAUCACAACUAUUUAUAUGAAGGACAGAGGAAAAUACUAUCAGAAAUAUAGCCCUAAUCUAAACUUUUUCUUGGGGCAGUAGCUCUCUUGAGCUUCUUCCAGAAUACACGCAGGGCUAUGCUGUAAUGGCAUUUGUUAUGGCUGGCAGUUUUUCAGGUUUGGAUAUAUUCAGCUCUUCUUAUCGCUACUCCCAUGCCAACAGCUAGAAACAGCCUGACUUUUUUCU
This is a long non-coding RNA of Nothoprocta perdicaria, 2471 nucleotides long. RefSeq lists it as uncharacterized. Lineage: Eukaryota; Metazoa; Chordata; Aves; Tinamiformes; Tinamidae. The transcript has 2 exons. The record is from RefSeq and is a predicted model, not a curated record.